GACGAACGCUGGCGGCGUGCUUAACACAUGCAAGUCGAACGGAAAGGCCCUGCUUUUGUGGGGUGCUCGAGUGGCGAACGGGUGAGUAACACGUGAGUAACCUGCCCUUGACUUUGGGAUAACUUCAGGAAACUGGGGCUAAUACCGGAUAGGAGCUCCUGUUGCAUGGUGGGGGUUGGAAAGUUUCGGCGGUUGGGGAUGGACUCGCGGCUUAUCAGCUUGUUGGUGGGGGAGUGGCUUACCAAGGCGUUGACGGGUAGCCGGCCUGAGAGGGUGACCGGCCACAUUGGGACUGAGGUGCGGCCCAGGCUCCUACGGGAGGCAGCAGUGGGGAAUAUUGCACAAUGGGCGGAAGCCUGGUGCAGCAGCGCCGCGUGCGGGAUGGCGGCCUUCGGGUUGUAAACCGCUUUCGCCUGUGACGAAGCGUGAGUGACGGUAAUGGGUAGAGAAGCACCGGCUAACUACGUG
RNAcentral lists this ribosomal RNA (468 nucleotides) under uncultured bacterium. Its description in RNAcentral is "partial 16S ribosomal RNA". It matches the Rfam family "Bacterial small subunit ribosomal RNA", at positions 28 to 507 of the family's 1533-position model. The record is from RNAcentral.